Molecule: long non-coding RNA, 750 nt
Organism: Dicentrarchus labrax (European seabass)
Lineage: Eukaryota; Metazoa; Chordata; Actinopteri; Moronidae
Exons: 2
Source: RefSeq, a predicted model, not a curated record
AGUUUGAUUUUAUUUAAGCAUGCUUUUACUUUGAAUUUGCUGUGUUUUUGUCUUAUUUAUUAUUGCAUGCUUUUAUUUUGAAGUGUGUUUGUGUUACGUUGGUUUUACUUCCCCACCGGAGACAUACCUUAAUCAAGCAUAAGGACUUACACCUGGCACCCAGAGAGGGGAGUGACUGUUCUUGGAUAAAAGGACACUAUGGAAGAUACCCGGGGGCACGAGGGAGGACACAGAGGGCACGAGGGAGGACACAGAGGGCACGAGGGAGGACACGGAGGGCACGAGGGAGGACACAGAGGGCACGAGGGAGGACACGGAGGUCACAACGGGCCGGACAGCAGGAAGCAGACAGAGAGACAGAGCAGAUCAUCGCACUGGAAGAGGUCUGAAGAGACACCGGAGCAAACACCGACCGUUAGCGGCUAUAAUUGGGAGAAGGUAAAACUUCUCCCUCCCGCGUAAGUCCCGUUUCAGACCGGUGUUUGUGUAGUGUGUAAUAUAUAAAGUUGUGCCUUGUUAAAGGACAUUGACUGGCCCUGAGUUUCCCUCGACAGGCUGCCGAAGAGCGGAGCCAGGUGAAGAGCAGGUGGUCGCCACCAGAGACCCGCGACUGCCGUUGUUGACCCCCACUCCAUCCGUGCCACAUUAUUUUAGCUGGGUUUUAGUUGUUUGUGUUCUUUGUUUAGUUUAUUUGAAGGUAGAGCUUUUAGUUGUUUUUACUUAUUUUAAAAUAAAUUGUGUUCAACUGUG